GGCAGCAGGGCCCUUCCUCACUCCACUCCUGUCUCAGUGGAGGGGCUGAGGGGGCAGAGGGGAUUCUGUGAGGAGGCGAUAGUGCCGGGAGCUGUUGAGACCCAGCAGCUUAGGGCUGUGCUACCCAGGGUGGUCCCAGAAGACCGCCAAUUGACGUAAAGGGCCUUGAGUCGGCUGAUGUAUUGGAACCCCUGACCUGGGGCCAAGCCCCCAUCCCCAGCCCUGUUGCCGAGACGGGAAUCUGCACGUCUUGUGUCACAGCAAGCAGGACGCUGGUGGCGGCAGGAAGAGAAAAUAUUCGAGGAGGAGGUGACAGGUUGUGCUCAGGUCCCUGCAGUGGCUGAGGCCUUGGCGUCCAGCCCAGAGCAGAGCGGACUGCAGCGGGAGAGAAAGAGCGAAGGCUGCCGGGUCUCGCCCGGCUCCAUGCUCACCCCUGCACAAACCGAGCGGAUCAUGCCCCCUUCCAGCCCCUGUGUGAGCACCUACCAUCUGGGAGCGGAGCAUCGACCUCGUUCUUCCAAGCCAUGUGAAGGCAAAUCUAGCGAAUUUGCUGAGCAUUGCUCAAUCGACAAAUACUUACUGGGUACACUUUGCCUUUUUAGGUAUAUCUGGUACCUCCUAGAAGAGAGCAGAGGAAGGAGGAAGCUGAGGCUCAGAGAAAUGGAAUGGAUUUCCCCAAAGCCAGAACUCAAAGCCAGAUCUGACCGACCGUAAAUCCCAACCAUUGACACCAGUCAGAAAUCACAAUGAAGCCAGAAAGCAGUGUGGUCAGUGGUACCGCAGCAUCAUUGCCUGAACUGGUGACUAAGACGGACGACUGCUGUCAAGAGCAGGAAGUCUGUGGGUCUCUGGCAUGCUACCUGCUCUGCCUGGUAACUGAAGGCUCCUGCAUCUCAGCUAAGCCAGGAAGCAAAGGUGGACCUGUCAGCCUUGGUUCCUCUUCCAGGUGGCCCCCAAGCUUGGAUCACACCCAGCAUCCCUUCAUCCAUCCACCUCGCCUCUUCCUCACCACCCACUACCAGUAAUCCAACGUGCAUAGUUGUAAACUUGUUUCUUUAAAUAAACAGUCUUGAGUUUCAUACCAAAUAGUCUUUUAAGAGGAGGAACGUCUCCAG
Molecule: long non-coding RNA, 1115 nt
Organism: Bos taurus (domestic cattle)
Lineage: Eukaryota; Metazoa; Chordata; Mammalia; Artiodactyla; Bovidae
Source: Ensembl